CGGGGUGUGGCGCAGUUGGUAGCGCGCGAAGUUUGGGACUUCGAUGCCGCAGGUUCGAAUCCUGUCACUCCGACCA
Molecule: transfer RNA, 76 nt
Filed under: Ruminococcus callidus
Lineage: Bacteria; Bacillati; Bacillota; Clostridia; Eubacteriales; Oscillospiraceae
Also listed under: 4 other names
Description: tRNA-Pro
Rfam family: tRNA
About the family: Transfer RNA (tRNA) molecules are approximately 80 nucleotides in length. Their secondary structure includes four short double-helical elements and three loops (D, anti-codon, and T loops). Further hydrogen bonds mediate the characteristic L-shaped molecular structure. tRNAs have two regions of fundamental functional importance: the anti-codon, which is responsible for specific mRNA codon recognition, and the 3' end, to which the tRNAs corresponding amino acid is attached (by aminoacyl-tRNA synthetases). tRNAs cope with the degeneracy of the genetic code in two manners: having more than one tRNA (with a specific anti-codon) for a particular amino acid; and 'wobble' base-pairing, i.e. permitting non-standard base-pairing at the 3rd anti-codon position.
Source: RNAcentral